This is a ribosomal RNA of Hanseniaspora osmophila, 1639 nucleotides long. It matches the Rfam family "Bacterial large subunit ribosomal RNA", at positions 15 to 2044 of the family's 2925-position model. NCBI's taxonomy places the organism in Eukaryota, Fungi, Ascomycota, Saccharomycetes, Saccharomycodales, Saccharomycodaceae. The record is from Rfam.
GAGAAAUUUAUAAAUAGAUUUAUACUGAAUGAAUUGAAACAUCUUAGUAAUUCAAGUGAAAAAAAAUCAACAGAGAUAUCAUAAGUAUUGGUGAGAGAAAUUGAUAUAGCCAUAUAUUAUAUAUAUUAAAUAUAUAUAAUAUAAAAUUAAGUAUUAUGUAGACAUAUAUGUAAGAAUAUAGGACAAACAAGUUCUAAGGCUAAAUACUAUUAAUAAAUAAAAAAGUACCGAGAGGGAAAUCCAAAUAUUAGUUAUUUUAUAAGCAGUUAUUAUAUUAAUUUAUUAAAUAACGUACCUUUUGUAUAAUGGGUCAGCAAGUUAUUAAUAUUAGCAAAAUGUAAAUUAUAAUUAAAUUGAAUAAUUAAAUAUUAUAUAUAUAUAUAUUAAAAGUUAAUAUUAAUUGACCCGAAAGCAAAUGAACUUAUUAUAAUCAGACGGAAACGGUCGAACAGGUUGAUGUUGCAAAAUCAUCUGAUGAAUUAUGAUAAGCAGAGAAAGUUGAAUCUAAUUUGCAGAUAGCUGGUUUUCUAUGAAAUAUAUGUAAGUAUAGCAAUUAAUAUAUUAAAUAAUAAAAUUAUUAAUAAUUUUUAAUGGUACAGCACUAUUUAUAUUUGGGAGAUUGAUAAAAUUUUAUCAAAUAUAUAUUAACCUCGAAAUUAAAAUAUUUAAUUAUUAAUUAGUCAGACUAUAUGCGAUAAGGUAGAUAGUCUAAAGGGAAACAGCCCAGAUUAAGAUAUAAGGUUCUAAAUUGAAUAAUUAUCGAUAUUAAUAUGAAAAUGUAUCUAUACAAUCAGUUAAUGGGUUUGACAAUAAUCACUUUUUAAUGAACAUGUAAAAAUGCACUGAUUAAUAUAUUUAAUGAACAUUUAUAAAUAAUUAAAAAUUAUUUCAUAAAUAAUAUAACGGAUCUGAGUAUUCAACCGAAUAUCUAAAUAUUAUAAUAAUAAUUAUUAUUAUUAUUAUAAUAUGGUAAUAGAAUAUCUAAUUAAAAUAAAAUAUAUAUAAAUUUUAUAUAAAAAAAGAAAUAUUUUAAAAAAUAAAAUAAAAAUAUAAUUAGAGAAAGAAUGCUGACAUGAGUAAUGAAAUAAGUGUAAACUUGACCUAAGUAGCAUAAAUUAUAAGAAUAAAGUCGGCAAAUAAUUUAAAUAAAUGUAUUAAAUAAUUAUAAUGAUAUUAUAAUUCUAAUUAAUUUUAAAAAAAUAAAUUUUAUUAUUAAUAUAAUAAUAUUAAUAAAUUAAUAAAAUUCAGGAAGAAAAAUUAAAAAUACCGUGAUGAUAGCCGACGCUGGUAUGCUAGUAGAGAAUAUGAAGGUUAUGUAACCAGAGAAUUAAAGAGAAGGAACUCGGCAAAAAUUGCUCCAAAGUUUGACAAUAACGGGAAGGAAAAAAACAAAGUUGUACAACUGUUUACUAAAAACACAGCACAUUGCUAAUAUGAAAAUAUUUGUAUAAUGUGUGAACUCUGCUCCAUGUUUAGGCAUAAAAAAAUAUUUUGAAAGAAAUAUUUCUAUAAAACUAAAUAAAUAGCAGCCUUAUCGUGAGGGUUAUAAUGUAGCGAAAUUCCUUGGCCAAUAAAUAUGGUCCAGCAUGAAUGACGUAAUGAUACAACAACUGUCUCCUCUUUAAACUGGGUGAAAUUG